This 360-nucleotide ribosomal RNA is filed under the name Eleutherodactylus schmidti (Schmidt's robber frog). RNAcentral's name for it is "partial 12S ribosomal RNA". It matches the Rfam family "Bacterial small subunit ribosomal RNA", at positions 871 to 1384 of the family's 1533-position model. The record is from RNAcentral. Lineage: Eukaryota; Metazoa; Chordata; Amphibia; Anura; Eleutherodactylidae.
GUCAGGGGACUACGAGCAAAGCUUUAAACCCAAAGGACUUGACGGUGCCCCACAUCCCCCUAGAGGAGCCUGUCCUAUAAUCGAUAAUCCCCGUUCAACCUCACCGCAUCUAGCUUAUCAGCCUGUAUACUUCCGUCGUCAGUUUACCACGUGAGCGAAAAUUAGUUAGCCUAAUGUCCACACAUCAAUGUGCUUACAUCGUCAAUACGUCAGGUCAAAGUGCAGCAAAUGACGCGGGAAGAGAUGGGCUACACUUUUUAAUAUAAAAGAAACGAAAGACAAAAUGAAACUUUGUCAGAAAGGCGGAUUUAGCAGUAAAAAAAAAUAUUAUAUUCCUUUUAACUUGGUACUGGGGUGCGU